Long non-coding RNA from Cervus elaphus (red deer), 565 nucleotides. RefSeq lists it as uncharacterized. Lineage: Eukaryota; Metazoa; Chordata; Mammalia; Artiodactyla; Cervidae. The record is from RefSeq and is a predicted model, not a curated record. The transcript is spliced from 3 exons.
GAUGGACAAGAGCAGAUUGAGGAAAACAGGAUGACAUGAGCAAUUAUGCAGCAAGUGUUGACAGAAAAACUGGAAGAAGUCAUCUCUUUCUAUCCAGAGGACCAGGAAAAGGGACCCAUGCGUUCCACAAAGCAGUGUCGGUUUCACGGAACUGUAGAAAAAGCACAAGAGGCAAGCACUCCAUCCUUCUGACCAGAGGAACUGGGAGAAAACAGGUCACUGUGAACCAAAGUGUGGCUGAGACACCAGAGAGAAAGGACUGGCAGUGAGGAUCCCUUGGGGCUCAUCUGCAUGAACCAACUUUAGGUCCAGGCUUACAUCCAAGGUGGGCACGUGGAGACAAGGCCCAAAGAAACAGCAGGGCUCCCAGAAUAAACUGCCCGGUGGGACAUUGACCAGGUCUAACUUCUGGGUCUUUGCCAUCCAGACCCAAACAGCAUAUUGAAGACUUCAGAAAUGAACUGAUGUUAGAACCCACGGAAGACAAGAUAGACUUUACAGUUUAAAACAAACCAGGUUGAUUGUCUGCUAAAAAAAUUACCUUCUCCAGAGGAUUUUUUCUUGC